This 420-nucleotide ribosomal RNA is filed under the name uncultured cyanobacterium. Its description in RNAcentral is "bacterial SSU rRNA". It matches the Rfam family "Bacterial small subunit ribosomal RNA", at positions 355 to 795 of the family's 1533-position model. The record is from RNAcentral. Lineage: Bacteria; Bacillati; Cyanobacteriota.
UGGGGAAUUUUCCGCAAUGGGCGAAAGCCUGACGGAGCAAUACCGCGUGAGGGAUGAAGGUCUGUGGAUUGUAAACCUCUUUUCUCUGGGACGAUGAUGACGGUACCAGAGGAAUCAGCAUCGGCUAACUCCGUGCCAGCAGCCGCGGUAAGACGGAGGAUGCAAGCGUUAUCCGGAAUUAUUGGGCGUAAAGCGUAUGUAGGUGGCUUGCCAAGUCCUUUGUCAAAGCGUGGGGCUUAACCCCAUAACGGCGAGGGAAACUGGUAGGCUAGAGUACAGUAGGGGUAGGAGGAAUUCCCGGUGUAGCGGUGAAAUGCGUAAUAUCGGGAAGAACACCAUGGCGAAAGCGUCCUACUGGGCUGUAACUGACACUGAGGUACGAAAGCUAGGGGAGCGAAUGGGAUUAGAUACCCAGUAGUC